UACCAGCACCCCGAGUGGUCGGGACGAUUAUUGGGCCUAAAGCAUCCGUAGCCGGUUCUACAAGUCUUCCGUUAAAUCCACCUGCUUAACAGAUGGGCUGCGGAGGAUACUAUGGAGCUAGGAGGCGGGAGAGGCAAGCGGUACUUAGUGGGUAGGGGUGAAAUCCGUUGAUCCAUUGAAGACCACCAGUGGCGAAGGCGGCUUGCCAGAACGCACUCGACGGUGAGGGAUGAAAGCUGGGGGAGCAAACCGG
This 253-nucleotide ribosomal RNA is filed under the name uncultured bacterium. RNAcentral's name for it is "partial 16S ribosomal RNA". It matches the Rfam family "Archaeal small subunit ribosomal RNA", at positions 474 to 727 of the family's 1478-position model. The record is from RNAcentral.